RNAcentral lists this ribosomal RNA (721 nucleotides) under Neocallimastigomycota sp. LLMB10_1 PML-2011w. Its description in RNAcentral is "eukaryotic LSU rRNA". It matches the Rfam family "Eukaryotic large subunit ribosomal RNA", at positions 107 to 858 of the family's 3401-position model. The record is from RNAcentral. Lineage: Eukaryota; Fungi; Neocallimastigomycota; Neocallimastigomycetes.
GCCCAACUUGAAAAUCUCCCUCUGGAGAAUUGUAGUCUAUAGAAGUGCCCUCUGUAUCGGGCGGAGCUCAAGUCCGCUGGAAAGCGGCGUCAGAGAGGGUGAGAACCCCGUCGGCUCCUGUCUCGGUGCUCCACGAGGUACUUUCCACGAGUCGGGUUGUUUGGGAAUGCAGCCCUAAUUUGGUGGUAAAUCCCAUCUAAGGCUAAAUAUUGGCGAGAGACCGAUAGCGAACAAGUACCGUGAGGGAAAGAUGAAAAGAACUUUGAAAAGAGAGUCAAAAAGUGCUUGAAAUUGUUGAGGGGGAAGCGGUUGGACGUCGUGUGUGCGCCCAGGCUCAAGCGGUUCUAACGAGCCGUUGAAUGUGCUGGGUGCUGGUCAACUCGGGUCGCUUUGGCGGGACAACAGCAGGGAACGUAGGUAGCCCGGCCGAUGCCGCCUCGGCGACCAAGGCGUAAUGGACGCUCAGACCUUCGGGAUCCGCGUCCAAAAGGAGUUGGCAAAAGACUUUCAACCGGCCCGUCUUGAAACACGGACCAAGGAGUCCAACAUGUAUGCGAGUUGGCGGGUGGCAAACCCGUAAGCGCAAGUAACCUGACUGGUGGGAUGGCUUCUAGCCUGCACCAUCGACCGACCAUGAGCUUCUGCGAAAGGUUUGAGUGCGAGCAUACCUGUUGGGACCCGAAAGAUGGUGAACUAUGCCUGAGCAGGGUGAAGCCAGAGG